AAAGAGUUGGUAAUUUGUCUUUCUCUUCUGGAUAACUGGACAACUUCUACUUUAGUAAAGGAACUUUGCAGUUGCCUUACAUAACACAACAGUUUUCAGGUGCUUCAACCCCUGUGGGAAGAACAGGAUUUCCCUCAGCGUCAACUUUAAAAAGAGAAGGUGCACCAACCAGAUCCUCUGGUGGUUGACCGCAAUUCUGCAUUCGGUUCAUGAGUGCCAACGUCUUUUCGAAACGAGCUUUCUUCACUUCUUCAGAAUCAUCUGCUGUUUCUUUUUCUAGUUCGGUACAUACCUAGGGAACUGCUGCAUCAGGUUCAACUGCUCUGUGUACCUCUCUAAGUCAGCAGCUGGUAGAGUCGACUUUUUUUCUUCCAGCCAAGCUGGGUAUUUAUCAACUAGUUCUUUCAUAGUGGGAUAUAAGACUUCCUUCGAUAAUAGAGAUUGCAUCAUUCCCUGCAUGAAGGAUGGGAAUUCACCAGCUUCAUCCUCCAAACCUGCACGCCCAAACAUUGCAGCUAAGUCCGCUUCUCCCAACCCUGAUACUGGAUUCUGUGAAAUGAUACAAACAUGGAUACUCAUUAAUCUGGGUGUGAAGUGAAUUUUUUUGAACUUCUGCUUCAAUUUUACCUGCAAAUUUUGAGUCGUAUCAGAUAAGUCCUUCAGGGCUUGAGAGAUGGCUGAUUGAAAGUCGGCAUGCGAAUCUUCAGCUCCAGGUUCUCCUCCUGUGAUCGCACUAGCUACUGUUUGUGCCAUUUUUUGGAAAGAGGCUCCAAGGUCGCCUUCUCCGCCUGUGCAAUAAACUGAUGUGUUAUAACAACUCCAUGAUCAUUCCUUCAGUCAUCACCAUUUUGUAUGAGGUUCUGCAGAUUCCGUUCAAACUGAUCCGCAGCUUGUUUGAUAAAAUCUUGCGUCCAUUGGUCCUCAACCCCAGUUGCCUCGUCUGAGGCUUCAGGCUGUACAGGCUGCACAACCGUCUCAUUGUCAUUUUUGGACUUUUGAUCAUGGACCUGGUUAAAAUCUUCAAGAGCACC
This 1031-nucleotide unclassified non-coding RNA is filed under the name Athalia rosae (coleseed sawfly). RNAcentral's name for it is "misc RNA ENSAEAG00005010216.1". The record is from RNAcentral. Lineage: Eukaryota; Metazoa; Arthropoda; Insecta; Hymenoptera; Athaliidae.